CUGGUGUGAAAAAUUAAAAGUAUAGAUAUGGAUCAAAAUGUAUAACUGAUAAUGUGAAAUAGGAAGAAAAGGUCUAAAAAAAGUAGAGGAAGUGGGCAGGGUAGGGGAAGGUAAAAAGGGAAAAGAAAAAUAUGUGAAAAGGAAAAAUAUGGAAACAAUGUCUUUGUAAACAGGGAAGGGUGGAGGGAAUGAAGGGAGGGCUGGGGAAUGGGGAAAAAUAAGAAUCAAGAUAAGUCAUGUAAAGGCACAAGAUCCCAAUGAUGAAUUUAAUUGUACUGUAUACCUAAAAUGUACCAAUAAACUUAAUAAAGUUUAAAAAAAAGAAAGAAUUUGGGAACUAAGGCUGGUGGUGAUUGACUAAACAACUCAGCCCUUAUCUCUUGCCACAAAGCCUUACCAUCUUGGCGGCCCUUCUUUUGAGGACACUCACAAUGAACAGAGACGCGGAAUAGGAGGAAUGUCACCCAAUCCUGUUCUUUUCCCUCCGGAAUGAGAAAAUCCACCCUGGGUCCAGACGAGUACCUCCUCAUCUGCUGCCUUCCACCAAGAAAUCCAAGGAGAUCUCCAGAAAUGUUGACUCCCUGGAGCCUGUUUGAAGAUGAAAUGCAAGGACCUCUCCGCCGAAGAGGAGGUGAAACUGAACGCUUGGCACUGGAGAAUUGCUACGGAACACUCUAAGCUACAUCUGUCUUAAAAGGGUGAAACCCAAACCAGAAUUAGGAUUUAC
Molecule: long non-coding RNA, 727 nt
Filed under: Fukomys damarensis (Damara mole-rat)
Lineage: Eukaryota; Metazoa; Chordata; Mammalia; Rodentia; Bathyergidae
Description: lncRNA (ENSFDAG00000032735.1)
Source: RNAcentral